Molecule: long non-coding RNA, 2917 nt
Organism: Microcebus murinus (gray mouse lemur)
Lineage: Eukaryota; Metazoa; Chordata; Mammalia; Primates; Cheirogaleidae
Source: RefSeq, a predicted model, not a curated record
AGCCCCGCGCUUCGGCCAGGACUCUCGGCCCCGCUUCUCCGACGCCGCGGCCGAGCCACACACCAGCGAGAGCGGUUUGAAAGGCCCGCUUAUUUCUUUUCUUGUUUCCGCUCUACUUGCGGAUUCUUUGUUUGGGCUUGAGUGGGGUCAGGCAGCGUCGUGAGACAGCGGCGUUGGUCGCUCAUCCCCUCAGGGAUAAUGUGAGAAGUAGGCUCCUGGUUAGCGAGAGAAAUCAGGAAAGGCAACGAGAACUAAAAUCUUCAUUUCACCUCAGAGUUGAACGACCGACUCCUUUUCCAGAGACUCGCCCGCAACUCAGGCGGGAAUGGCCCCGAGAGCGCGCGGCUGGCGUCUGAGCCUGGCGGCGCAGGCCGGGCGUUUGGGGCACGCGGGGACAGGACACCGCCGUCUGGGGCGCGGCGAGGGGCCAGCGCUGGAGCUGCUGCUGCUGUGGAGGCCACAUGGGAGAGACUUUUGACACAGGCCACUGUUUCUGUUUUCAAGCGAGAGCGCCUGUAUCCAAAACUCUGGGUCCCGCGCGAUGCAGGGCCCUCAACUGUAGGCAAAGCACCACCUGAAGUUCGCCUCGUAGGUUUGAGACUGUAAAUUGUAAAAUAAGAUAUGAAAGUAUGAUCCGAUCAAUCCUUACUGUUUACUGGACAACUAUUUUGGAGAUAGAGUUUCACUCUGUCACCCAGGCUGGAGUACAGUGACCCAUCAUGGCUUACCACAACCUCGAAUGCUUGCAAACCUCCUGCCUCAGCCACCUGCGUACCUGGGACUACAGUUAUACAGGACUCUCCACCACAGGACUGGAAAGAGACUGGACAUCAGAGAGAAGUGCUCCUACUGGCCUAGAAGAAAGCAAACAUCCAUGUUAUGAACUGUCUAUGGGGUCUCCAAGGAAAGGAACUAUGAGCUGAAAGAAGUCUUCAACCAACAGUCAGCAAGAUAACUGGCACCUUAGUCCUGUAACGGCAAGGAUUGUGUUCUGUGAGCCACCUGAGGACUGUGGAAAAGGAUGCCAAAUUCCAAAUGAGAAGCGCAGUGUGCCUGACACCUUGACUGCAGGCUUAGAGGCCCUGAGUAGGAGAUCCAGUUCAACAGUGCCUGGAGUCCUGACCCACGGACUGGGAGAUUGUGGUAAUUUUCUACACAGCAACAGAAAACUCAUCACACACAUACACACACAAUUAUGAGUACUUGCUAUACAUAGGCUUUUAAUUAAUCCAAUAAUCUAUAUUUUAUGAUGGUCUUAAAAGUAAAUGGAAUUACAUUAAAUUCACUGUGUUUCCCAGCCUCAUUUUUAGAGGUUUUCCUUUCCCAGAAUUAGGUGGCCCCAAGACUGUUAUGUAUUUGAACACAUGGAUAACUUCCAGAAUAGUUAUGAUAUUCAUACACCAAUCUGUCAUAUUCCUGGAAUACCAUGUUUCCAUGGUUGACUUUCAGCUUAGUCAGUUUUUUGUGAAAUUCAGCCAUACAGAUAGGGCAAACGAUGUUUCAGACAUAUCCAGACAUUGACACAAAAUGCAGCCCAUAGAAACUCAAAAUCAAGUGCUCUGUAAUUCCUCAAGGUGUGUGACUCCACCAACGUCAGACAAGUUGAGCCAUGGGAAUGCAAUAUCCAGUUGCCAUCUUGUUGAUUCUCAUAUGCUACCAGCAUCUAGCAUUUACUUAGUACUUACUGUGUGCCAGGUACUUUUCUGAGGAUCUUAAAUUAUAUCACUUAAUCCCCUCAACUUUUUGAAGAUAGUUUUAUUGUCCCCAUUGUACAGAUGAGAAAACUGAGGUAUUGUGGAAGUUAAGUAGGUUGCCUAAGGAUACCAAAAUGACAGAACCCAGAUUCACUCCCAGACAAGAAGAUGCCAUUGUCUGCUCUCUUAACUACCAUGGUAUACUGCUGCAUGUACAAUUUGAUAUCUGGAGUUGAACAAAUCAACAACAUCCUUGUUUUUUUCUCAUCAGUUUUAGAUUCAAAUAAUUUAAAUGUCUUCUUAAGAAACUACAAUUUUUGAGCCAAAGAAGAAUGGGAGAGUGGGUCCCACCAGUUGAGUCCCUUCAUCCCUAUAAUUAAAAAAUUAAAUAAAAAAUAAAUAAAUAAAAAAUAAAAUCCCUAUAAAAAAUAAAAACCCUAUAAAUAAAAAAUCCUUGAUUUGAAGAAGCAGCAGUAAACCUCUCCUUCUCAAGCUUGCCAUUUGGCUGCUUUAAAUAGUUGACAGGAUCUGCUCAAGUUCUUCUGACUUCUGCAUACCCUGGAAAUGGUUAAAGGCUUAAGCAGGAAGCCAUUCCCCUUUUAUCAGCUACUAUAACAUCAUGUGGCAAGUUUACCAGAGAAGAGAUUCCUGAUGAAAGAUGCAAGAAAAGCUGGACACAUUAAGCAGUCUUUUCUUGAUAAGAAUCAAUGGUAGGCACCUUCAUUUCCCUUUACUCCAAGGGACCUAUAUGCAGAACACAAACUCACUUUUUCUAUGUUUAGAUCAGGUUCUCAAAUUCGUUCCUAGCAAACAGCUCUAACAGGGUCAUGAAUGCUAGUUAAUUGGCUAUAAUCACACCACUGCACUUGGCUAUAAUCUCUUUUUUUCUGGCUAAAUAAUGAGGUGGACCACACACCUGCAUCAGAGCACUCACUUUUGGCCCUUAAUCAUAUUUGGACUUCUUUAGUACAGGGAAUGCCAGGUGUAGGUAUCACCCUUGUUGUCUCAACAGCAUGACACUUAACAGCACUUCUAUGCUACUUUGAAUCAACAAGAAUCAGUUCUGCUAUAAUACAACAUAUGUAAUCCUGAACAAUCACUGCACUAUGCAAAACUGUGCAAUAAAAACCAUAGGGCUGGGCGUGGCGAGGUUGCUCACACCUGUAAUCCUAGCACUCUGGGAGGCUGAGGCAGAAGGAUCGUGCUUGAACUCAGGAGUUUGA